RNAcentral lists this ribosomal RNA (265 nucleotides) under uncultured bacterium. RNAcentral describes it as "partial 16S ribosomal RNA". It matches the Rfam family "Bacterial small subunit ribosomal RNA", at positions 793 to 1055 of the family's 1533-position model. The record is from RNAcentral.
GUCCACGCCGUAAACGAUGUCAACUAGCCGUCGGCUCCAUCUAAGGGGUCGGUGGUGCAGCUAACGCAUUAAGUUGACCGCCUGGGGAGUACGCGCGCAAGCGUAAAACUCAAAGGAAUUGACGGGGGCCCCGCACAAGCGGUGGAGCAUGUGGUUUAAUUCGAUGCAACGCGAAGAACCUUACCAGCCCUUGACAUGUAGCGAAGUCCGCAGAGAUGUGGAUGUGCCUUCGGGAACGCUAACACAGGUGCUGCACGGCUGUCGU